CGGCGGCCCGCGGGCUCGGCCGUGUCCCCGGGGCAGGCCAGCCCCAGCCGGAGGCCCGGCCCCCGCUGGCAGGCCGCGCCCCACUGUCCGCGCUGGACGGUAACCUGAGGACCUAGUUCCGCAUCUUAAGUUAAAAAGCAAGAAAAAAGAGUUAAGAAAGAGUCACUUUUUUAAAGCGCCCGUGCUGCAGCGAGCUGUGGGCAGCCCAGCAGGAGUAGAUCCCGGGGGGCGGAUGCCCGCAGUGCGCGUGUUGCCACCAGGCGGCUUCAGCCUGCAGGAUUUCUCGGGGUCCGGGGCAGCCCGGGCCGCGCGCGGCGAGCGGCUCUGAGGGUCGAGCACCGCCGCGUCCCCCGCCCCUGCAGACGGAGCGGCGGGCGUGCGCCUGCGCUGUGACGUCGGGGCGGCAGCCGCGGUUGACGACAGACGCGGGGCGGCGACGCAGGGCUGGAGGAGGCGGCAGAACUGAACGGCGUCCUCCCCGCGGCCUGGGGUCUUGGCGCUUGGCACGACCUGCGGCCGACCUGAGAGCCGCCGAGGGCCGCUGUGUGCGCGCAGGAGCCGCCCCCGCCCGGCGGGCGGUGCCCUGGGGGGCUCGAGAGCUGCGGCCCGGGCUCCAGCGCCGAAGACCCUGGAUUCGAGGCUCAAGAGCCAGAGCAACA
This 659-nucleotide long non-coding RNA is filed under the name Equus asinus (donkey). RNAcentral's name for it is "lncRNA (ENSEASG00005038185.1)". Lineage: Eukaryota; Metazoa; Chordata; Mammalia; Perissodactyla; Equidae. The record is from RNAcentral.